CGCGGGAUGCGCGGCGGCGGGAGUCCCACUUCCUGCCUCCGACGCGACCUGCCCGCGGGGACCGGCCGGCGCGCAGACACCGCGCGGCUUGCGGCGCGCCCGGGGGACCUGACUGCUUCCGCGGCGCCGGCGCUCAGCCGCGUCCCGGGCUUUGCCGGGCUCCCUGCACGGGGUUCGCCUCCGGCGUCAGGAGAACAGUGAGAAAACUCGCCUCGCUUUCCGUCAGCCCCAGACAAUUAGGUGACAGGAACGCCACACCGUGAAUCCCGUCUCUAAACACAGGCCCUCUGGUUUAGACGAGCUAAACAGCGUCUUGAGGUGUUCUCCAGAGCCCAGAACAACCGGUCGGAGAGGACAUUGCCUUCGAAAGUGACAGUUCUAGAACAGACAUUUAAAAACUACUGAAUUUUAAGUCUGCAUUGAUGAUUUUUCAAGUGUUAAUUGUUAAAUUUUCAAAUUGGAUUUUUGAAAACUGGAUAUGUGCGCAUGACCCCAAGAGACCCGUUUCCAUACGAGGCCAGGAAUCAGGACCUGCCAUCUUGAAGGGUCACCGUUUGGCCUACCGCAGAUAAGGACAGCAUUCCUGUUUGCAUGGAGCAACAAAGGUGGCUUUGAAAGGGAAGAAAGAUGGAUUGUGCAUCCCCAAGGCUUUGGGCUGGAUGAAGGAUAGCGGCUCCAUUUAACAAGUGUCUGCUGUGUGUCCUCAGCUGUGAUCUCAUCCGCCCCGCCACCCUGCUCCUUAGGAAUAAAGAUGACCAUUUUACACGCCAGGAAGUGAGGCUUGUAAAGGCCGAGACAUGGAGGAAUGGGAGUUGGAGCCGCCUGACAGCAGCGUCUAAGACCUUUCAA
Microcebus murinus (gray mouse lemur) is the source of this 849-nucleotide non-coding RNA. The record is from RefSeq and is a predicted model, not a curated record. NCBI's taxonomy places the organism in Eukaryota, Metazoa, Chordata, Mammalia, Primates, Cheirogaleidae.